This 332-nucleotide ribosomal RNA is filed under the name uncultured eukaryote. RNAcentral describes it as "partial 18S ribosomal RNA". It matches the Rfam family "Eukaryotic small subunit ribosomal RNA", at positions 1470 to 1796 of the family's 1831-position model. The record is from RNAcentral.
CCCUUAGAUGUUCUGGGCUGCACACGUGCUACACUGGCAGGUUCAGCGAGCUUCAUGCCCUGAUCUGAAAGGAAUGGGAAAUCUUUUCAAAACCUGCCGUGCUUGGGAUAGAUGUUUGCAAUUAUUCAUCUUCAACGAGGAUUGCCUUGUAAGCGCACGUCAUCAGCGUGCAUUGAAUACGACCCUGUAUUCUGUACACACCGCCCGUCGCUCCUACCGAUUGAAGUUUUCGGUGAGUUGACAGGAGGAUUUUUUUGAAACUGGUUCGACAGUGGAUUUUAGAUCCAAAUGCCAACGAAUCGAUGGCUUUAGAGGAAGGAGAAGUCGUAACA